UGGGGUAUCGCCAAGCGGUAAGGCACCGGUUUUUGAUACCGGCAUUCCCUGGUUCGAAUCCAGGUACCCCAGCCACUU
This 78-nucleotide transfer RNA is filed under the name Shimwellia blattae DSM 4481 = NBRC 105725. RNAcentral's name for it is "tRNA-Gln". It matches the Rfam family "tRNA". Rfam says of the family: Transfer RNA (tRNA) molecules are approximately 80 nucleotides in length. The record is from RNAcentral. Lineage: Bacteria; Pseudomonadati; Pseudomonadota; Gammaproteobacteria; Enterobacterales; Enterobacteriaceae.